GAUUAUGGCUCAGGAUGAACGCUAGCGGCAGGCCUAACACAUGCAAGUCGCGGGGCAGCACGGGUAGCAAUACCUGGUGGCGACCGGCGCACGGGUGCGUAACGCGUAUGCAACCUACCUAUCAGAGGGGAAUAACCCGGCGAAAGUCGGACUAAUACCGCAUAAAACAGGGGCACCGCAUGGUGAUAUUUGUUAAAGAAAUUCGCUGAUAGAUGGGCAUGCGUUCCAUUAGGUAGUUGGUGAGGUAACGGCUCACCAAGCCGACGAUGGAUAGGGGAACUGAGAGGUUGGUCCCCCACACUGGUACUGAGACACGGACCAGACUCCUACGGGAGGCAGCAGUGAGGAAUAUUGGUCAAUGGGCGGGAGCCUGAACCAGCCAAGUCGCGUGAAGGAAGAAGGAUCUAUGGUUCGUAAACUUCUUUUGCAGGGGAAUAAAGUGCAGGACGUGUCCUGUUUUGUAUGUACCCUGAGAAUAAGGAUCGGCUAACUCCGUGCCAGCCGCAGC
This 508-nucleotide ribosomal RNA is filed under the name uncultured bacterium. RNAcentral describes it as "bacterial SSU rRNA". It matches the Rfam family "Bacterial small subunit ribosomal RNA", at positions 15 to 518 of the family's 1533-position model. The record is from RNAcentral.